This 1346-nucleotide ribosomal RNA is filed under the name uncultured bacterium. RNAcentral's name for it is "bacterial SSU rRNA". It matches the Rfam family "Bacterial small subunit ribosomal RNA", at positions 28 to 1381 of the family's 1533-position model. The record is from RNAcentral.
GACUAACGCUGGCGGCGUGCUUAACACAUGCAAUUCGAACGGAAAGGCCCUGCUUUUGUGGGGUGCUCGAGUGGCGAACGGGUGAGUAACACGUGAGUAACCUGCCCUUGACUUUGGGAUAACUUCAGGAAACUGGGGCUAAUACCGGAUAGGAGCUCCUGCUGCAUGGUGGGGGUUGGAAAGUUUCGGCGGUUGGGGAUGGACUCGCGGCUUAUCAGCUUGUUGGUGGGGUAGUGGCUUACCAAGGCUUUGACGGGUAGCCGGCCUGAGAGGGUGACCGGCCACAUUGGGACUGAGAUACGGCCCAGACUCCUACGGGAGGCAGCAGUGGGGAAUAUUGCACAAUGGGCGGAAGCCUGAUGCAGCAACGCCGCGUGCGGGAUGACGGCCUUCGGGUUGUAAACCGCUUUCGCCUGUGACGAAGCGUGAGUGACGGUAAUGGGUAAAGAAGCACCGGCUAACUACGUGCCAGCAGCCGCGGUGAUACGUAGGGUGCGAGCGUUGUCCGGAUUUAUUGGGCGUAAAGGGCUCGUAGGUGGUUGAUCGCGUCGGAAGUGUAAUCUUGGGGCUUAACCCUGAGCGUGCUUUCGAUACGGGUUGACUUGAGGAAGGUAGGGGAGAAUGGAAUUCCUGGUGGAGCGGUGGAAUGCGCAGAUAUCAGGAGGAACACCAGUGGCGAAGGCGGUUCUCUGGGCCUUUCCUGACGCUGAGGAGCGAAAGCGUGGGGAGCGAACAGGCUUAGAUACCCUGGUAGUCCACGCUGUAAACGGUGGGUACUAGGUGUGGGGUCCAUUCCACGGGUUCCGUGCCGUAGCUAACGCUUUAAGUACCCCGCCUGGGGAGUACGGCCGCAAGGCUAAAACUCAAAGGAAUUGACGGGGCCCCGCACAAGCGGCGGAGCAUGCGGAUUAAUUCGAUGCAACGCGUAGAACCUUACCUGGGUUUGACAUGGAUCGGGAGUGCUCAGAGAUGGGUGUGCCUCUUUUGGGGUCGGUUCACAGGUGGUGCAUGCCUGUCGUCAGCUCGUGUCGUGAGGUGCUGGGUUAAGUCCCGCAACGAGCGCAACCCUUGUUCACUGUUGCCAGCACGUUAUGGUGGGGACUCAGUGGAGACCGCCGGGGUCAACUCGGAGGAAGGUGGGGAUGACGUCAAGUCCUCAUGCCCCUUAUGUCCAGGGCUUCACGCAUGCUACAAUGGCUGGUACAGAGAGUGGCGAGCCUGUGAGGGUGAGCGAAUCUCGGAAAGCCGGUCUCAGUUCGGAUUGGGGUCUACAACUCGACCUCAUGAAGUCGGAGUCGCUAGUAAUCGCAGAUCAGCAACGCUGCGGUGAAUACGUUCCCGGGGCU